GUGGCAACUGGUUUACUAUCACAUAGAACAUUAGUACGCUCAAAAUAUGGUUUUAACAUAUUAAUAUGACACACUCUAUUUUGUUUGCGCCGACCUGGAGUUUUUACAAUAUAAUUCAAAUCAUUAAUUUUACUCUCUAUUGUAUAAGGACCACAAUAUUUAGCCUGUAAAGGAUGUCCAGGGACUGGCAAAAAUACAAGUACCUUAUCACCAGGCUCAAAAACUCUAUCCCUGGCAUCUUUAUCAUACCAAAUUUUCAUCUUGUUCUGUACAUUUUUUAAGUUUUUCUGAGCAAUUUGACAAGCAGUAUACAAUUUUUCUUUCAAUCUAGAUACAUAGUCUAAAAGAUUCAAGUCAGUAU
Molecule: long non-coding RNA, 361 nt
Filed under: Mytilus galloprovincialis (Mediterranean mussel)
Lineage: Eukaryota; Metazoa; Mollusca; Bivalvia; Mytilida; Mytilidae
Source: RNAcentral